RNAcentral lists this ribosomal RNA (429 nucleotides) under Gemmatimonadota bacterium. Its description in RNAcentral is "Gemmatimonadetes bacterium partial 16S ribosomal RNA". It matches the Rfam family "Bacterial small subunit ribosomal RNA", at positions 355 to 776 of the family's 1533-position model. Lineage: Bacteria; Pseudomonadati; Gemmatimonadota. The record is from RNAcentral.
UAGGGAAUCUUCGGCAAUGGACGAAAGUCUGACCGAGCAACGCCGCGUGAGUGAAGAAGGUUUUCGGAUCGUAAAACUCUGUUGUUAGAGAAGAACAAGGACGUUAGUAACUGAACGUCCCCUGACGGUAUCUAACCAGAAAGCCACGGCUAACUACGUGCCAGCAGCCGCGGUAAUACGUAGGUGGCAAGCGUUGUCCGGAUUUAUUGGGCGUAAAGCGAGCGCAGGCGGUUUCUUAAGUCUGAUGUGAAAGCCCCCGGCUCAACCGGGGAGGGUCAUUGGAAACUGGGAGACUUGAGUGCAGAAGAGGGGAGUGGAAUUCCAUGUGUAGCGGUGAAAUGCGUAGAUAUAUGGAGGAACACCAGUGGCGAAGGCGGCUCUCUGGUCUGUAACUGACGCUGAGGCUCGAAAGCGUGGGUAGCAAACAGG